AGAGAAGCAAUACCGCGAGGUGGAGCAAAACUUCAAAAAUGGUCUCAGUUCGGACUGUAGACUGCAACUCGCCUACACGAAGUUGGAAUUGCUAGUAAUCGUGGAUCAGCAUGCCACGGUGAAUACGUUCCCGGGUCUUGUACACACCGCCCGUCACACCAUGGGAGCUGGUAACACCCGAAGUCAGUAGUCUAACCGCAAGGAGGACGCUGCCGAAGGUGGGAUUAGCGACUGGGGUGAAGUCGUAACAAGGUACC
RNAcentral lists this ribosomal RNA (257 nucleotides) under uncultured bacterium. RNAcentral's name for it is "partial 16S ribosomal RNA". It matches the Rfam family "Bacterial small subunit ribosomal RNA", at positions 1243 to 1500 of the family's 1533-position model. The record is from RNAcentral.